AUUGAACGCUGGCGGCAGGCCUAACACAUGCAAGUCGAACGGUAGCACAGAGAGCUCGCUCUCGGGUGACGAGUGGCGGACGGGUGAGUAAUGUCUGGGAAACUGCCCGAUGGAGGGGGAUAAGUACUGGAAACGGUAGCUAAUACCGCAUAACGUCGCAAGACCAAAGUGGGGGACCUUCGGGCCUCACACCAUCGGAUGUGCCCAGAUGGGAUUAGCUAGUAGGUGGGGUAAUGGCUCACCUAGGCGACGAUCCCUAGCUGGUCUGAGAGGAUGACAAGCCACACUGGAACUGAGACACGGUCCAGACUCCUACGGGAGGCAGCAGUGGGGAAUAGUGCACGAUGGGCGCAAGCCUGAUGCAGCCAUGCCGCGUGUAUGAAGAAGGCCUUCGGGUUGUAAAGUACUUUCAGCGGGGAGGAAGGCGGUGGAGUUAAUAACUUCACCGAUUGACGUUACCCGCAGAAGAAGCACCGGCUAACUCCGUGCCAGCAGCCGCCGCGG
RNAcentral lists this ribosomal RNA (504 nucleotides) under uncultured bacterium. RNAcentral describes it as "partial 16S ribosomal RNA". It matches the Rfam family "Bacterial small subunit ribosomal RNA", at positions 29 to 523 of the family's 1533-position model. The record is from RNAcentral.